UACAGAGGUGGCAAGCGUUGUUCGGAAUUACUGGGCGUAAAGGGCGCGUAGGCGGUUCGUCAAGUCCUGUGUGAAAUCCCCCGGCUCAACUGGGGAACUGCACAGGAAACUAGCGGGCUUGAGUUCGGGAGAGGGAAGCGGAAUUCCGGGUGUAGCGGUGAAAUGCGUAGAUAUCCGGAGGAACACCGGUGGCGAAGGCGACUUCCUGGACCGACACUGACGCUGAGGCGCGAAAGCUAGGGGAGCAAACGGG
This 253-nucleotide ribosomal RNA is filed under the name uncultured bacterium. RNAcentral's name for it is "partial 16S ribosomal RNA". It matches the Rfam family "Bacterial small subunit ribosomal RNA", at positions 524 to 776 of the family's 1533-position model. The record is from RNAcentral.